GCCGGGGUAGCUCAGUGGUAGAGCAGGGGCCUGAAAAGCCCUGUGUCGGAAGUUCGAUUCUUCUCCCCGGCACCA
RNAcentral lists this transfer RNA (75 nucleotides) under Patescibacteria group bacterium. RNAcentral's name for it is "tRNA-Phe". It matches the Rfam family "tRNA". Rfam says of the family: Transfer RNA (tRNA) molecules are approximately 80 nucleotides in length. The record is from RNAcentral.